Molecule: ribosomal RNA, 1324 nt
Filed under: metagenome
Description: bacterial LSU rRNA
Rfam family: Bacterial large subunit ribosomal RNA
Source: RNAcentral
AGUGGAUGGGGAGCAACCUAGUUGUGAGUGCGGAAAGGUAGUGCCAAGAAAAGCUGUCAGAAUGAUGAGAAUUGAGUCCCGGUACCCGAAACCGACACAGGUAGGCAAGUAGAGAAUACUAAGGGGCGCGAGGUAACUCUCUCCAAGGAACUCGGCAAAAUGACCCCGUAACUUAGGGAGAAGGGGUGCCACCGAGAGGUGGUCGCAGUGAAGAGGCCCAGGCGACUGUUUAGCAAAAACAUAGGUCUCUGCAAACUCGAAAGAGGAAGUAUAGGGGCUGACGCCUGCCCAGUGCCGGAAGGUUAAAGAAGUUGGUCAGGAGAAAUCUGAAGCUGGCGACUGAAGCCCCGGUGAACGGCGGCCGUAACUAUAACGGUCCUAAGGUAGCGAAAUUCCUUGUCGGGUAAGUUCCGACCCGCACGAAAGGCGUAACGAUCUGGGCGCUGUCUCGGAGAGAGGCUCGGCGAAAUAGGAUUGUCUGUGAAGAUACGGACUACCUGCAUUUGGACAGAAAGACCCUAUGAAGCUUUACUGUAGCUUGAAAUUGUGUUCGGGCUUCCUGUGCGCAGGAUAGGUGGGAGGCUAGGAAGGUCUGCUUGUGGGCAGAUUGGAGCCAACCGUGAGAUACCACUCUCAGGAGGCUAGAAUUCUAACUUAAUUAAGGACAGUUUCAGGUGGGCAGUUUGACUGGGGCGGUCGCCUCCAAAAAGGUAACGGAGGCGUACAAAGGUUCCCUCACACUGGUUGGAAAUCAGUGGCAGAGUGCAAAGGCAGAAGGGAGCUUGACUGCGAGACGGACAAGUCGAGCAGGGUGGAAACACGGUCUUAGUGAUCCGACGGUGCUGUGUGGAAGGGCCGUCGCUCAACGGAUAAAAGUUACUCUAGGAUAACAGGCUGAUCUCCCCCAAGAGUUCACAUCGACGGGGAGGUUCGGCACCUCGAUGUCGGCUCAUCGCAACCUGGGGCGGAAGUACGUCCCAAGGGUUGGGCUGUUCGCCCAUUAAAGCGGUAUGUGAGCUGGGUUCAGAACGUCGUGAGACAGUUCGGUCCAUAUCCGAUGUAGGCGUGAGAAUAUUGAGAGGAGCCUUCCUUAGUACGAGAGGACCGGGAAGGACGCACCGCUGGUGUACCUGUUAUGAUGCCAAUCGUAAACGCAGGGUAGCCAAGUGCGGAGAGGAUAACCGCUGAAAGCAUCUAAGUGGGAAGCCCACCUCAAGAUGAGUAUUCUGGUGUAAGGUCACGGGGAGACGACCCGUAGAUAGGCACGAGGUGGAAGUGAGAGAUGUAUGAAGCCGAAGUGUACUAAUAGACCGUCGGCUUGACC